GCCCGCUUGGCUCAGCGGUAGAGCGCCUCACUAGUAAUAAAAUUACUAAGAUAUGAGGAGGCGACUGGUUCGACUCCAGUAGUGGGCA
Molecule: non-coding RNA, 88 nt
Organism: Biscogniauxia marginata
Lineage: Eukaryota; Fungi; Ascomycota; Sordariomycetes; Xylariales; Xylariaceae
Source: the annotation of a GenBank genome assembly